CCUACGGGGGGCAGCAGUAGGGAAUCUUCGGCAAUGGACGGAAGUCUGACCGAGCAACGCCGCGUGAGUGAAGAAGGUUUUCGGAUCGUAAAGCUCUGUUGUAAGAGAAGAACGAGUGUGAGAGUGGAAAGUUCACACUGUGACGGUAUCUUACCAGAAAGGGACGGCUAACUACGUGCCAGCAGCCGCGGUAAUACGUAGGUCCCGAGCGUUGUCCGGAUUUAUUGGGCGUAAAGCGAGCGCAGGCGGUUAGAUAAGUCUGAAGUUAAAGGCUGUGGCUUAACCAUAGUACGCUUUGGAAACUGUUUAACUUGAGUGCAGAAGGGGAGAGUGGAAUUCCAUGUGUAGCGGUGAAAUGCGUAGAUAUAUGGAGGAACACCGGUGGCGAAAGCGGCUCUCUGGUCUGUAACUGACGCUGAGGCUCGAAAGCGUGGGGAGCAAACAGGAUUAGAUACCCGGGUAGUC
Molecule: ribosomal RNA, 465 nt
Filed under: uncultured Streptococcus sp.
Lineage: Bacteria; Bacillati; Bacillota; Bacilli; Lactobacillales; Streptococcaceae
Description: bacterial SSU rRNA
Rfam family: Bacterial small subunit ribosomal RNA
Source: RNAcentral